This 281-nucleotide long non-coding RNA is filed under the name Elaeis guineensis (African oil palm). RNAcentral describes it as "long non-coding RNA (EGUI_LNC061417)". The record is from RNAcentral. Lineage: Eukaryota; Viridiplantae; Streptophyta; Magnoliopsida; Arecales; Arecaceae.
CCUGCGUCGGAGAAGCUAGAGUCGAGGGAGUCGCGGUCGCCACCGGGACCUGCAAAAGAAGUCUAAAUCGGAGGUGGGGUUGCUCCGGCAAGACCCUCUAACGCUUAAGUCAGUUCUCUACCUCAACAAGAAUGGAGUGCUUGAACGAAAAUUUUAGCAGAGUUUUUAGGUAAGAAAUGAGAGCUUAGAGAAUAACGUAUCUGGGGUCCCCCUUUUAUAGGUGGAGGGGGCAACAGACUGAUAGCGAUGUUUGCAACUGUCUAGCAGUGGGCUGCCCAGGG